RNAcentral lists this ribosomal RNA (433 nucleotides) under uncultured bacterium. RNAcentral describes it as "partial 16S ribosomal RNA". It matches the Rfam family "Bacterial small subunit ribosomal RNA", at positions 29 to 507 of the family's 1533-position model. The record is from RNAcentral.
AACGAACGCUGGCGGCAUGCCUAACACAUGCAAGUCGAACGAGACCUUCGGGUCUAGUGGCGCACGGGUGCGUAACGCGUGAGAACCUGCCCUUAGGUUCGGAAUAACUCCCCGAAAGGGGUGCUAAUACCGGAUAAUGUCUUCGGACCAAAGAUUUAUCGCCUUUGGAUGGGCCCGCGUUGGAUUAGCUAGUUGGUAGGGUAAAAGCCUACCAAGGCGACGAUCCAUUGCUGGUCUGAGAGGAUGAUCAGCCACACUGGGACUGAGACACGGCCCAGACUCCUACGGGAGGCAGCAGUGGGGAAUAUUGGACAAUGGGCGAAAGCCUGAUCCAGCAAUGCCGCGUGAGUGAUGAAGGCCUUAGGGUUGUAAAGCUCUUUUACCCGGGAUGAUAAUGACAGUACCGGGAGAAUAAGCUCCGGCUAACUCCGUG